This 624-nucleotide ribosomal RNA is filed under the name uncultured bacterium. Its description in RNAcentral is "bacterial SSU rRNA". It matches the Rfam family "Bacterial small subunit ribosomal RNA", at positions 65 to 735 of the family's 1533-position model. The record is from RNAcentral.
AACGCUCUCUUCGGAGGGAGUGGCAGACGGGUGAGUAACGCGUGGGAACCUACCUAGUAGUACGGAAUAACGUUUGGAAACGAACGCUAAUACCGUAUACGCCCUAUGGGGGAAAGAUUUAUCGCUAUUAGAUGGGCCCGCGUUGGAUUAGCUAGUUGGUGGGGUAAUGGCCUACCAAGGCGACGAUCUAUAGCUGGUCUGAGAGGAUGAUCAGCCACACUGGGACUGAGACACGGCCCAGACUCCUACGGGAGGCAGCAGUGGGGAAUAUUGGACAAUGGGGGCAACCCUGAUCCAGCCAUGCCGCGUGAGUGAUGAAGGCCUUAGGGUUGUAAAGCUCUUUCGCUAGGGAAGAUAAUGACGGUACCUAGUAAAGAAGCCCCGGCUAACUUCGUGCCAGCAGCCGCGGUAAUACGAAGGGGGCUAGCGUUGUUCGGAAUUACUGGGCGUAAAGCGCACGUAGGCGGAUUAGUAAGUUAGGGGUGAAAUCCCAAGGCUCAACCUUGGAACUGCCUUUAAUACUGCUAGUCUCGAGUUCGGGAGAGGUGUAUGGAACUCCUAGUGUAGAGGUGGAAUUCGUAGAUAUUAGGAAGAACACCAGUGGCGAAGGCGAUACACUGGCCC